UACGAAGGGUGCGAGCGUUAAUCGGAAUUACUGGGCGUAAAGCGUGCGCAGGCGGUCUGCUAAGACAGGUGUGAAAUCCCUGGGCUCAACCUAGGAAUUGCGCUUGUGACUGGCGGGCUAGAGUACGGUAGAGGGGGGUGGAAUUCCUGGUGUAGCAGUGAAAUGCGUAGAGAUCAGGAGGAACACCGAUGGCGAAGGCAGCCCCCUGGGCCUGUACAGACGCUCAGGCACGAAAGCGUGGGGAGCAAACAGG
Molecule: ribosomal RNA, 253 nt
Filed under: uncultured bacterium
Lineage: Bacteria
Description: partial 16S ribosomal RNA
Rfam family: Bacterial small subunit ribosomal RNA
Source: RNAcentral